This 206-nucleotide non-coding RNA is filed under the name Andreesenia angusta. RNAcentral describes it as "Eubacterium angustum T-box sequence". It matches the Rfam family "T-box leader". Rfam says of the family: Uncharged tRNA acts as the effector for transcription antitermination of genes in the T-box leader family. T-boxes are found upstream of many aminoacyl-tRNA synthetase genes and some amino acid biosynthetic genes usually in Gram-positive bacteria. The record is from RNAcentral. Lineage: Bacteria; Bacillati; Bacillota; Tissierellia; Tissierellales; Gottschalkiaceae.
ACAAAAGCUGCGAUUGGAAGAGUAGUCUGUAUUUAGCUUAAAGAGAGACGGCCAUUGGUGGGAGGCUGUCAGCGAGUUACAGGUGAAGAUCACCCAUGAGCUUGUUGUCUGAAUCGAGUAGGGCAUCACGUAGAAAUGCGUUAAAUUAAAUGAGUGAUAGAGGAAACUCUAUAAUUUGGGUGGUAACACGGUGAUUCGUCCCUAAG